Long non-coding RNA from Cucumis sativus (cucumber), 1409 nucleotides. RefSeq lists it as uncharacterized. The record is from RefSeq and is a predicted model, not a curated record. NCBI's taxonomy places the organism in Eukaryota, Viridiplantae, Streptophyta, Magnoliopsida, Cucurbitales, Cucurbitaceae. The transcript has 3 exons.
UAGUGAAUAAAGGAGAAACCAUCAUUUUGUUGCUUUGGCUUUUUGGAAAAAGCAAAAACCCUUCCUUUCCAAACAUACAAACUCAAUCCACUCUCUCUAUUUCUGCUCAAAACACACCCUCUUGCAUUGCUGAUGUUAUUAAUCUACAAUGGAUUCUCUGGAAGAUACCCAGAAAUGGCACUCACUCAAAUUCGGUUAAGCUCUGUUGUUUGUCGAGUUUAUUACGUGGUUGUAUCCUUCAAAUAGCUCUACCUGUUUGUGGAGAAAAUUUGCUGGCGGUGUACUGAAAUUUAGCUUAGAGCAGAAUUCAUCAGCCAUCACUAUUGGAAGUUUUCGAUACAAUUUCACUCAUAUGAACUUCUCAACCUGUGAGUUUUAGUAUUAGAGCUUUGAGGGGAAUAUACAUAGCUUUUACACCCAAUUUUUUUUUCCCGAUAAUCAAAUGCCUAACUUUUGUUGAGAAUUAAUGAAAAAGUAGGAAGAGGAACACAAAAAACUUAACUCCAGACAAAAGGAGUCAAAAACUAAAAUCGAAAGUGCUUUUACAAAUCGAAAGAGCAGUAUUAUCAAUUCCUUUGACUCCGUCGUCCAUGUCGCAAUUUCAAAGUAGAGAGGAUAUAGCCCAUGCCUGAUUUUGCACCUUGGACCAUUUUGGGUCAGGUAUUUACUUCACUUUUUUCUUUUUGUCGUUUAAGAAUUUGGAAUCAGCAUGCGUUGAACUUGCAUGAAGCAAUUAGCAGAUGUUCUGGCUUUGUGAUUUCUGAGAGUGGCUUUGCUUUAUAAACGUUAUUCGCUUUUGUUGUCUGUAGUAAUUGCAUCACUAUAUUGGUUUUUGUUCAGUUACGUAUUUGAGUUUUGCUCUACAAGGAUUGGAACAAGUCCUCAUAACAGGAGGAAUUCCUCCAAUUGGGAAUGGAUGCACGUCAGAUUCUGUAUACAGAGCAGCAUGGCUUUGAUUGAAAAUGUUACUACAAGAGGUAUCAGCAAGAUGUUGAAACUGUCGGCAGAGUUGUGAAAUACUUAGCCGGAAAUAGAGGUGUGGGGGUUCUUCUUUCUUUGGUGGUGUCUUGACACCCGAAGGACUGCAAACUCUUGCUCUCUCCGCUUUGUGAUCUACUGCACUAUCUCUUAAGGCCUUUUAAUUUUAUUGUUGUUUUUAUUAUUUUUAAUAAGAUAUUUAAAUUAAAGUAAUAUUUAGAGAAAUUUGUGAAAAAAAAGAAAAUUAAAGAUUACCAUAUAUUAAAUUUAGCUUCUAGCUUCCUUCUAACUAAAUUUAAAUUUGGGUGAUGUGAGUUUGAUUUAUUAAAAUUACUUUUUACGAAACAAAUCUUGAAAAUUGUCGUUUUUACUUUAUACUUUAUUGAUGCAAAUAUAGUCAAUAGUAAAUGUUAUUGAAGCAUUUUUCAACA